This 76-nucleotide transfer RNA is filed under the name Pseudomonadota bacterium. RNAcentral describes it as "tRNA-Arg". It matches the Rfam family "tRNA". Rfam says of the family: Transfer RNA (tRNA) molecules are approximately 80 nucleotides in length. Their secondary structure includes four short double-helical elements and three loops (D, anti-codon, and T loops). The record is from RNAcentral. RNAcentral also lists the same sequence under 1 other name. Lineage: Bacteria; Pseudomonadati; Pseudomonadota.
GCGCCCGUAGCUCAGAGGACAGAGCGGCUGCCUUCUAAGCAGCGAGUCGGGGGUUCGAAUCCCUCCGGGCGCGCCA